Molecule: ribosomal RNA, 425 nt
Filed under: uncultured prokaryote
Description: bacterial SSU rRNA
Rfam family: Bacterial small subunit ribosomal RNA
Source: RNAcentral
UGGGGAAUCAUGGUCAAUGGGCGAAAGCCUGAACCUGCGACGCCGCGUGAGUGAUGAAGGUCGUAAGAUCGUAAAACUCUUUUCAGGGAUCUUAAAGCCUGUCCGUCAACAACGGGCAGGUCUGACUCUCCUUGGAAGAAGCCCCAGCCAACUACGUGCCAGCAGCUGCGGUAAUACGUAGGGGGCGAGCGUUAUUCGGAAUUACUGGGUGUAAAGGGUAUGUAGGCGGCCCUUCAAGUCGCGUGUCAAAGUCCAGUGCUCAACGCUGGGUGUGCACGCGAUAUUGACGGGCUUGAGGGCUGGAGAGGUGAGCGGAAUUCCCGGUGUAGUGGUAAAAUACGUAGAGAUCGGGAGGAACACCAGUGGCGAAAGCGGCUUUCUGGACCAAUUCUGACACUAAGCUGCGAAAGCUCGGGGAGCAAACA